AUCUGGAUGAAAUUCUGGCCGAGAAGACGGUAAAGGUGCUUAAUGCCAUGCACACACUUGGACAUAUUAUUAUUUGGACAUAUCCGCGACAAGCCCCAAAUUGGGCCAUGCCUGUCUCUUUGUAUUUUUCCUUGCAGAGCAGCAAACAAAACUCACUUUUCACUUUCUCAGUUGUUGGAUGUUUGGAGAUCCAAAUGAAUCCCGACCGUCUGGGAGCUCGGCUCAGAUUUAAGCUUUACUACGCCUUCACGUUAAAAUACACAAAAAGACAUGAAUUCAAAUAAAAUGAAAUAAAAACUCACUUCAAAUUGAGCUUCUCGGCCGUCAGACAAAAGAGGCCAUGUGGCACCCACAAAAGCUUUAAAAACUUCCUACCACUUUGCAACAAGGAGACUGCUUAAAUGAAUCCCUUAAUUAUGAGCGACAUCAAUCCUUUCAUUAAAGCAGUAAGUUUACAGUAAGUCUACAACAUGCUCAUAAAGCAAGAGUUCAUCUUACUUCAGCUGGUUUUGAACUCAAUAGAAAAAGAAAAACCGUUGCAUUUUUUUUCAUCUUAAAGUCCGAUUUAGUCCAGAUGACCUGUUGUGCCCGCCUUUUUCUUUGCAGGUAAAAAAGAAGAAGCUAUUUAUGAAGAAAUACCGGAUGCAUUGUUUCAGCCACAAAAUGACAGAUUAAACCAAAAUGAUCCCACGUAUUCCACCAUCUCUGAGCUUCCUCUGAUGGAGAAGCCAACUGACACAAUUCUACCUAAUGAGUCCCCUUACUCCUGCAUCGGAGACACGUUAGGUAGAGAUUACACAGAUUUGACGCAGUCGAAUGAAAGCCCAUAUUUUUUACUGAAGAAACCUGAAACACCCGAGAACAACAACGACGUGACGUCUGCAGUUUGAGCGGAAAAUUCUUCAGUUGUCGAUAAAACCU
Labrus bergylta (ballan wrasse) is the source of this 921-nucleotide non-coding RNA. Lineage: Eukaryota; Metazoa; Chordata; Actinopteri; Labriformes; Labridae. The record is from RefSeq and is a predicted model, not a curated record.